AUACGGAGGAUGCGAGCGUUAUCCGGAAUUAUUGGGCGUAAAGGGAGCGUAGGCGGAUUGUUAAGUGAGAUGUGAAAUACCCGGGCUUAACCUGGGGGCUGCAUCUCAUACUGGCAACCUUGAGUGUGGGAGAGGAAAGUGGAAUUCCUAGUGUAGCGGUGAAAUGCGUAGAUAUUAGGAGGAACACCAGUGGCGAAGGCGACUUUCUGGACCAUAACUGACGCUGAGGCUCGAAAGCGUGGGGAGCAAACAGGAUUAGAUACCCUGGUAGUCCACGCAGUAAACGAUGAUAACUAACCGUCGGCGAUAGAAUGUCGGUGGCCAAGCGAAAGCGAUAAGUUAUCCACCUGGGGAGUACGUUCGCAAGAAUGAAACUCAAAGGAAUUGACGGGG
Molecule: ribosomal RNA, 393 nt
Filed under: uncultured bacterium
Lineage: Bacteria
Description: partial 16S ribosomal RNA
Rfam family: Bacterial small subunit ribosomal RNA
Source: RNAcentral